This 4163-nucleotide long non-coding RNA is filed under the name Sus scrofa (pig). RNAcentral's name for it is "lncRNA (ENSSSCG00065021185.1)". The record is from RNAcentral. Lineage: Eukaryota; Metazoa; Chordata; Mammalia; Artiodactyla; Suidae.
CACUGAAUCCUGCUUUGUGACUAAAGGACUUGAGUCGUUUGCAGAAUCUUCACGCAGAGUCAGGCUGCCAUGGCAGACCAGCGACAGCGUUCACUGUCCACCUCGGGGGAGUCGCUGUACCACGUGCUGGGGCUGGACAAGAAUGCAACCUCGGAUGACAUCAAGAAGUCCUAUCGGAAGCUGGCCUUGAAGUAUCACCCUGACAAGAACCCCGAUAACCCGGAGGCGGCAGACAAGUUCAAGGAGAUCAACAACGCCCACGCCAUCCUGACCGACGCCACCAAGAGGAACAUUUACGACAAGUACGGCUCGCUGGGUCUCUACGUGGCCGAGCAGUUCGGGGAGGAGAACGUCAACACCUACUUCGUGCUGUCCAGCUGGUGGGCCAAGGCGCUCUUCGUCUUCUGCGGGCUCCUGACCUGCUGCUACUGCUGCUGCUGCCUGUGCUGCUGCUUCAACUGCUGCUGCGGCCGGUGCAAGCCCAAGGCCCCUGACGGCGAGGAGACCGAGUUCUACGUGUCCCCCGAGGACCUGGAGGCGCAGCUGCAGUCCGACGAGCGGGGAGGGCACUGACACUGUGCGGGAGUGUUGGUGGUGGCGGCGGGACUGUUGUGUGAACGCGGACGCUGGAGAGGCCGCAGACGCUCCGAUCGCCGUCCAGCCGGCCUCGGCCACGGAGACCACCCAGCUCACGGCCGACUCGCACCCCAGCUACCACACCGACGGGUUCAACUAAGUUCAGGAGGAGCUGCAACGAGAGGGUCAGCGCCCGGCCGGCCGCUCAACCUUAGAAUCAUGAACUGUAGUCACAGAGCUGGCGCGGGAGCCGCUCCGGCCACGGGAAGGGCAGCGCCCGCCCGCCCGCCUCUGUGCCCGCCCGCCAUCCGUCGAUCCCGACCCACGAAGCGCGUAGCAUGCAGUAUUUAAAGCAGUUUAGCUACGGUCUUCUGUUGUUCCUUUCUUUGACAGCAUGUAUGGGUUCUGUUCCAUGUCCGUCUGUGUUGUGGGCGUGUUGCAGCCAGGCCGUGUUCACCCGGCGGGGCGGGGGCAGGGGGGCGCCUCAGGGCUUUCAGUCCGGUCUGUGCCCUGGGUGGAUGGCCCGCGUGGCGCCUCGCGGCCAGGCGGGCCCAGACAGGCUGGGAGCUGUGGGGUCUGCCCGGUGCCCUCUGUGCACGACCGUGUGGCCGCAGGCAGGGCCGUUGGACUCAGGCGCCUGGCGGGAGCUGGGCCCAGCCGCCCGGCGUGGCCCUUCCGUGGUGUUGGUCCCGAGGACAGUCUGUGCGGCCUCUUCGCCUUGUGGGCUCGGCCUGGCAGCGGGCGUUCCCCGUGUGCGGCUGUGGCGGUCGCUGCAGGAGGCUCUGCUGACCACAGUCUUGCCGUGUCGGACCUGAGGCCGGUCCCCGCCCCCUCACCAGGCGUGGGAACGGUCCCGCACUUGCCCAGGCCACGGGCCGGAUGGACAGGGCCCCCUCCCGCAGCCCCGCUCCCCCCGCCCGCACCUUGUCUUCGCCCACAUCUCUGCAGGACCCCCUGGCCCUUUCGGGACCCCCUCAGCAUCGCAGAUGGCAGCAGUGGCCCGGGCCUCGGGAGUCGGGGGCUGAGAGUCCUGGCUGCCGGUGGCGAGCGGCCGUACAGCCCUCCCCUGUGCCACCCAGAGCGCCCAGCCGCCCCCUUCCUUCGCAUGGUCCCUUUGGCUGGUGUUGAUGGCUCGGGUAGAGCUAGAGGCAUCGGACUCAGAGGAAGGACCAGCUGGACCAAAGGCGCACUCUGGGUAGAGGGGUGGGUUCCAGGAGGCCCUGGGCCCUUCAGCGUGUUUGCCCGCGGCCAGGCCACGGAAGCCCUGGGAGGGCGCUCCUGCCUGGCCUGUGCGUGGCACUGCCGGGUUUCUGCAGAACGAGCCGAGGGAACAGCCAGUGGGAAGGACGGGGUGGGGGCCGCACGCAGGGAGGUCAGACGCACCUGAAGUCACUGGCGGCAUCGGCAGCGUCCCCUGUUCCCCCUCCCCCCCGCCCCCCCGCCGCCAUGGCCCGAGCACUCCAGGAGCCGUGCUGGGGGAGGCCCCGUUUUGUUGGGGGUUUUGUGCGGGAGGAUGAUCACGGAGGUGUCCAGUGAGGGAGGUGCGCCCUGAUACUGAGCUAGAAGGGCCCCGGGCUUGGGCUGCUGGGAGGGUUAGGAAAUGCACUGUCUCACCGCCCAGGACGGGGAGGAGGCCCCAUGCAGGGCGGUCUUCACUGCCAGUUCCCGUCCAGCAGCAGGAGUCCAGCCCGAGGGGGAGGCAGCCAGUCUUCCUGCUGUCUCUGGAAAUAACUAGGAAGUGAGUUGUUUGCCCCGAACGGCCAAGAACCCAGCUCAAAGCUUCGGGCAGGAAGCCGCCCCUGCACCGUGUCUGUGCUCUUGCUUUGUGUCCAGAAGCACUGAGGCCCGUGGCACACGCCAGUGGUCCCCUGCCGGGGGUCUUUCGGUUCUAGAAUCUUACGGAUCGUCUCCUAGAAACAUGACGCUCCCUGGAGGCCCGGGUGGCGUGGGAAGGAGGGGCAGGUCUGGGUCGAACCCGUCCCCUGUGGGGUUUGUAAAAAUGAGAUAAGUGGUGAGUGAUGACAGCAGCCCUCAAGCCGAUGCUGAUGCUGCCCCGAGGCCCAGGCCCCCGGGAGCUGAGCCCGGGUCUGGACCACCCCCCGCCUGACCCAACCCGAAGCGUGUCCUCUCUGGGGUCCGGGGCAGAAGCCUUUCCCAGGGGUCUACUGUCCACACUCGCAGGCCGCCUCCUGGCUGGAGACCAAGGUCCCCGGGUGCCCUUUGCCCGCGUGGUUGUCUGUUCUCUGGGGAGCAGUGUCGUGUCUGGAGGGGUGCAGCCGCGCCUGUGCUCGGCAAGGACAGCUCUCUGCCUGUCGUGGUGGGGACAGGCGUGCUGUGGGCCUCACGCUAGGUGGCCCGCCGUGGCCAGGGCUGGGGGACCCGAGGGUGGGUGGGGACAGGGCUGUGCACGUCUCUGUUUGUGCGUGGUGACUGGUUCCCGGGUCUUCGGGCCUUACCCUGCUUCCCGCUGCUUUCGCUGUGAGCCCUCCCGCUUCUCUGGUCAGUCGAGUGGGACCGCUGGGCAAAGCCUGGGCGCGCUGGGCGGGGCGGGCGGCGUGUCCACACCGCUGGCCGGGGAGCCCGUCCGGGGCGGCCUGGUCAGCAUCUGGAGGGAGUGCGCCCGGGAGAGCCCUGCCUGUCCUGGCUCAGUGCGUGCGCCCGGGGGGCAGCUUGGAGGCUGUGGCAACGGGCCUGAUCGCAUUCCUCUGGCGGCUUCUGAGCUGUGAACUCUGUGACCCGGGACUCACCUGUUGCGCUCCUCCUCCUGUGGAAUUGGCAGCCAGCUCCGUUUCCUCCUGUCGUUUCAAGCACGGUUGGCGUCGUCUGCUGUAGGUGUGGGCGUAGUGUGGGUGUAGUGUGUGUACAUAUGUGUAUAUGUAUAUAUCACGCAGCAGGCGUGACUGCUGCUGUCCAGUGGCGAAGCAACAAGUACAAUAAAAAUCGGCUCCAAAUUGGCCUCUGGUUUCUUGACGAGUCGCGGUGGGAGCCGGGCCUCAGUGUCUGGUGUCUUGCUCCUUGCGCGGAAGGCGGCACCGACCCCGCUGUGCGCCCGGAGCCGGUGCCUGCCCCCUGCGAGUCCAGGGCGGGGGCAGGACCACCCAGGCGGCGACUGGGCAAGCGCUGCCCAUCCCUCCCUGGGCCCCGUUGCUCUCCUGACCCAGAGGUGGGUGGCACGGCCCUGUGACACUCAGGUGGCUGGAAACCCUCCCUCUCUUUAAACAUGAAAACCAGUUUAUGCACCAGAUGGAGUCUGACAGCUGUGCUCAGAGGGCCCCUGUCCUGCCCACAGACCCACCCUGCGGGUUCCUGAGGAAGACGGGGCCACACCGCCACCCUCCAGGAGGGGGCUGGCCGCGGCGCGUCUCUGGAAAAUGGGGUGAUGUGGCGGGGGAGGCAGUUUACACUGAAACGUUCCCGACGUGGUGAGAAGCUCUGUGCGGGUGUGGGAACCGUUGUGGUCCCCGUGCUGCUCUCGUCCUCCUGGGGCCUGACCUCUGCCCUGGCGCCUGUGCACACCGGGGGCCAGUCUCUUCUGUCUGAAUGUUGACCUGUGAUAAAGAUAACGUGUAAAAUAAAUGUUUUCACCG